Molecule: long non-coding RNA, 507 nt
Organism: Antechinus flavipes (yellow-footed antechinus)
Lineage: Eukaryota; Metazoa; Chordata; Mammalia; Dasyuromorphia; Dasyuridae
Exons: 4
Source: RefSeq, a predicted model, not a curated record
AAGUGCCACGUGGACCAGUGUCUCUUGACAACUGUCAGGGAUGCCCCAUCUCCUCAUCUGAAAGUAUCUUCUGGCUCUAAGGGGUCUCACCAAUCUUGGCCCCAGAUUGAAGCAUGAACCAACACCUGCCUCUCUCUGGGUGUAGACGGCUCUCUCCAUCACACGAUCAUUGGUACUGGCCUGAAUCACCUCAUUGUUGAAGAUGGCCACACCCAUCCGAAUUGAUCAUCUAAUAAUCUUGCUGUUGCUGUGAACAAUAAUCUCCUGGUCCUGCUCAUUUCACUCAGCAUCAGUUCAUAUGAAGUAGACAAGAGGAUGAGGACUGCAAGAAGCUGUGGGAGAGUCCACUCUGGGAAUGGAGAAAACAGGAGGGAUGUCAUGAUGAAGAGGAACUAAUUCAUUUUAAAGGUCUUCUGGGGGCCGAGUUCUCAGCUUGAUGCUGGGCAUGCAAGGACAAACCCAGAACGAGGAGGAGUUUCCACUGUACUGAGAGGAAACGCUUGGCCG